UACGAAGGGAGCUAGCGUUGUUCGGAAUCACUGGGCGUAAAGCGCACGUAGGCGGAUUUGCCAGUCAGGGGUGAAAUCCCGGGGCUCAACCUCGGAACUGCCCUUGAUACAGCAAGUCUUGAGUUCGAGAGAGGUGGGUGGAAUUCCUAGUGUAGAGGUUAAAUUCGUAGAUAUUAGGAAGAACACCGGUGGCGAAGGCGGCUCACUGGUCCGGUACUGACGCUGAGGUGCGAAAGCGUGGGGAGCAAACAGG
This 253-nucleotide ribosomal RNA is filed under the name uncultured bacterium. Its description in RNAcentral is "partial 16S ribosomal RNA". It matches the Rfam family "Bacterial small subunit ribosomal RNA", at positions 524 to 776 of the family's 1533-position model. The record is from RNAcentral.